Molecule: long non-coding RNA, 569 nt
Organism: Onychomys torridus (southern grasshopper mouse)
Lineage: Eukaryota; Metazoa; Chordata; Mammalia; Rodentia; Cricetidae
Exons: 3
Source: RefSeq, a predicted model, not a curated record
AGCUUGGAAGGACUAAGAAGGAAGAUAAAACCUGUUAAGAAUCUGAGAAUGGAAGCUACAUCAAGAUCUUUAUUUAGAAGCCUGAAGAACCGAAAGGAUCACAAAAUCAUACGUGUGCAAUUAAAUAAAGACAGUGGCGUGCUGUAAAGAAACACAGACACAGACUAUUACAGAAAGCUGUGAAGGUGCCAACCAUAAGUCACCAUGGAGUCCCCAUCCAUCAGUGGACGUCUACAGCACCACACUUAUUCCCAAGGAAAAAGUCACAGAAGAGGGUACAGGAAGGUGCUAAGAGACAGGGGACUGGGAGGACCGCUGUAAAAUAGUGUCUUCUGGGCAUGACUGGGAUGGUGUGCCCAUAACUUUUGAGCAGUAUGAUUGCUUGCAGUGGACCAUGCCCGUCCUCAAUAACCAGCUUGGGCAAGGAAAAGCUCACAAGGCCCCACCACUAGUUGAGGAGCCAUAGGCUGUCAAUGGCUGCUGGGAAAGGGAGGAGGAGUUUUCUCCAGGAGUGAGACCCCCUUAUAGGUUGAUCACAUCCAUGUAGUCAGCCUUGUAUUACAUAUGGG